RNAcentral lists this unclassified non-coding RNA (384 nucleotides) under uncultured Phycisphaeraceae bacterium. Its description in RNAcentral is "contains 16S-23S intergenic spacer region". Lineage: Bacteria; Pseudomonadati; Planctomycetota; Phycisphaerae; Phycisphaerales; Phycisphaeraceae. The record is from RNAcentral.
UCCGGUUUGACACCGGCAGUCCCGUUAGAGUCCCCGGCAUGACCCGAUGGCAACUAACGGCAGGGGUUUCGCUCGUUAAGCGACUUAACGCGACACUUCACAGCACGAGCUGACGACAGCCAUGCAGCACCUGUGCACGUUCCGCCCUUGCGGGUGCGGGCCGGCUUUCACCGGCUUGAUCCGUGCAUGUCAAGCCCUGGAUAAGGUUCUUCGCGUUGCUUCGAAUUAAACCACAUGCUCCACCGCUUGUGUGAGCCCCCGUCAAUUCCUUUGAGUUUUAGCCUUGCGACCGUACUCCCCAGGCGGCGCACUUACACUUUAGCUUCGACCGUGCCGGCGUCAGAGCCGCCACAAUCUAGUGCGCAUCGUUUAGGGCGUGGACUA